GAGUUUGAUCCUGGCUCAGGACGAACGCUGGCGGCGCGCCUAACACAUGCAAGUCGAACGGAGCUUAGAGAGCUUGCUUUUUAAGCUUAGUGGCGAACGGGUGAGUAACGCGUGAGUAACCUGCCCUAGAGUGGGGGACAACAGUUGGAAACGACUGCUAAUACCGCAUAAGCCCACGGUGCCGCAUGGCACUGAGGGAAAAGGAUUUAUUCGCUUUAGGAUGGACUCGCGUCCAAUUAGCUAGUUGGUGAGGUAACAGCCCACCAAGGCGACGAUUGGUAGCCGGACUGAGAGGUUGAACGGCCACAUUGGGACUGAGACACGGCCCAGACUCCUACGGGAGGCAGCAGUGGGGGAUAUUGCACAAUGGGGGAAACCCUGAUGCAGCGACGCCGCGUGAGCGAAGAAGUAUUUCGGUAUGUAAAGCUCUAUCAGCAGGGAAGAAAAUGACGGUACCUGACUAAGAAGCCCCGGCUAACUACGUGCCAGCCGCCGCGGUAAUUC
Molecule: ribosomal RNA, 504 nt
Filed under: uncultured bacterium
Lineage: Bacteria
Description: bacterial SSU rRNA
Rfam family: Bacterial small subunit ribosomal RNA
Source: RNAcentral